This 490-nucleotide ribosomal RNA is filed under the name uncultured bacterium. RNAcentral's name for it is "partial 16S ribosomal RNA". It matches the Rfam family "Bacterial small subunit ribosomal RNA", at positions 28 to 507 of the family's 1533-position model. The record is from RNAcentral.
GAUGAACGCUAGCUACAGGCUUAACACAUGCAAGUCGCGGGGCAGCAUGGGGGUUGCUUGCAACUCCCGAUGGCGACCGGCGCACGGGUGAGUAACGCGUAUCCAACCUGCCCUUCACCACGGGAUAACCCGGCGAAAGUCGGACUAAUACCGUAUGUUGUCCAUUGACGGCAUCCGAUUUGGACGAAAGGCUUUGCGGUGAAGGAUGGGGAUGCGUCCGAUUAGCCAGACGGCGGGGUAACGGCCCACCGUGGCUACGAUCGGUAGGGGUUCUGAGAGGAAGGUCCCCCACACUGGAACUGAGACACGGUCCAGACUCCUACGGGAGGCAGCAGUGAGGAAUAUUGGUCAAUGGGCGUAAGCCUGAACCAGCCAAGUAGCGUGCAGGAUGACGGCCCUAUGGGUUGUAAACUGCUUUUAUGCGGGGAUAAAGUGGCCCACGUGUGGGCUUUUGCAGAUACCGCAUGAAUAAGGACCGGCUAAUUCCGUG